GGGGAAACUCGAGCUAAUACCGCAUAUUUCCUACGGGAGAAAGACUUCGGUCGCUAUUGGAUGAGCCUAUGUCAGAUUAGCUUGUUGGUAGGGUAAUGGCCUACCAAGGCUACGAUCUGUAGCUGGUCUGAGAGGAUGAUCAGCCACACUGGGACUGAGACACGGCCCAGACUCCUACGGGAGGCAGCAGUGGGGAAUAUUGGACAAUGGGCGAAAGCCUGAUCCAGCAAUGCAGCGUGUGUGAAGAAGGCCUGAGGGUUGUAAAGCACUUUCAGUA
RNAcentral lists this ribosomal RNA (277 nucleotides) under uncultured Gammaproteobacteria bacterium. RNAcentral describes it as "partial 16S ribosomal RNA". It matches the Rfam family "Bacterial small subunit ribosomal RNA", at positions 150 to 441 of the family's 1533-position model. The record is from RNAcentral. Lineage: Bacteria; Pseudomonadati; Pseudomonadota; Gammaproteobacteria.